GACGAACGCUGGCGGCGUGCCUAAUACAUGCAAGUUGAGCGCUGAAGGUUGGUACUUGUACCGACUGGAUGAGCAGCGAACGGGUGAGUAACGCGUGGGGAAUCUGCCUUUGAGCGGGGGACAACAUUUGGAAACGAAUGCUAAUACCGCAUAAAAACUUUAAACACAAGUUUUAAGUUUGAAAGAUGCAAUUGCAUCACUCAAAGAUGAUCCCGCGUUGUAUUAGCUAGUUGGUGAGGUAAAGGCUCACCAAGGCGAUGAUACAUAGCCGACCUGAGAGGGUGAUCGGCCACAUUGGGACUGAGACACGGCCCAAACUCCUACGGGAGGCAGCAGUAGGGAAUCUUCGGCAAUGGACGAAAGUCUGACCUAGCAACGCCGCGUGAGUGAAGAAGGGUUUCGGAUCGUAAAACUCUGUUGGUAGAGAAGAACGUUGGUGAGAGUGGAAAGCUCAUCAAGUGACGGUAACUACCCAGAAAGGGACGGCUAACUACGUG
This 497-nucleotide ribosomal RNA is filed under the name uncultured bacterium. RNAcentral describes it as "partial 16S ribosomal RNA". It matches the Rfam family "Bacterial small subunit ribosomal RNA", at positions 28 to 507 of the family's 1533-position model. The record is from RNAcentral.